CUAAUCAUGCAAGUCGAGCGCGGGAAGCAGAAAGAUUCCUUCGGGAUGACAUCUGUGGAACGAGCGGCGGAUGGGUGAGUAACACGUGGGCAACCUGCCUGUAAGACUGGGAUAACUCCGGGAAACCGGGGCUAAUACCGGAUAAAGCUCCAUGCCGCAUGGCAUGAGGAUGAAAGACGGCUUUGCUGUCGCUUGCAGAUGGGCCCGCGGCGCAUUAGCUAGUUGGUGGGGUAAUGGCCUACCAAGGCGACGAUGCGUAGCCGACCUGAGAGGGUGACCGGCCACACUGGGACUGAGACACGGCCCAGACUCCUACGGGAGGCAGCAGUAGGGAAUCUUCCGCAAUGGACGCAAGUCUGACGGAGCAACGCCGCGUGAGCGAUGAAGGUCUUCGGAUCGUAAAGCUCUGUUGUCAGGGAAGAACACGUGUGAGAGUAACUGCUCACACCUUGACGGUACCUGACCAGAAAGCCACGGCUAACUACGUGCCAGCAGCCGCGGUAAUACGUAGGUGGCAAGCGUUGUCCGGAAUUAUUGGGCGUAAAGGGCUCGCAGGCGGUCCCUUAAGUCUGAUGUGAAAUCUUGCGGCUUAACCGCAAGCGGUCAUUGGAAACUGGGGGACUUGAGUACAGAAGAGGAGAGUGGAAUUCCACGUGUAGCGGUGAAAUGCGUAGAGAUGUGGAGGAACACCAGUGGCGAAGGCGG
RNAcentral lists this ribosomal RNA (705 nucleotides) under uncultured bacterium. RNAcentral describes it as "bacterial SSU rRNA". It matches the Rfam family "Bacterial small subunit ribosomal RNA", at positions 48 to 724 of the family's 1533-position model. The record is from RNAcentral.